Molecule: transfer RNA, 87 nt
Filed under: Panus rudis PR-1116 ss-1
Lineage: Eukaryota; Fungi; Basidiomycota; Agaricomycetes; Polyporales; Panaceae
Description: tRNA-Ala
Source: RNAcentral
GGGCAUGUGGUGUAGUUGGUUAUCACGCUCGCUUAGCAUUGAUAGUUUGCUUGCGAGAGGGGUCCGGUUCAAUCCCGGACAUGUCCA